AAAUUGAAGAGUUUGAUCAUGGCUCAGAUUGAACGCUGGCGGCAGGCCUAACACAUGCAAGUCGAGCGGUAGCACAGAGAGCUUGCUCUCGGGUGACGAGCGGCGGACGGGUGAGUAAUGUCUGGGAAACUGCCUGAUGGAGGGGGAUAACUACUGGAAACGGUAGCUAAUACCGCAUAAUGUCGCAAGACCAAAGUGGGGGACCUUCGGGCCUCAUGCCAUCAGAUGUGCCCAGAUGGGAUUAGCUAGUAGGUGGGGUAACGGCUCACCUAGGCGACGAUCCCUAGCUGGUCUGAGAGGAUGACCAGCCACACUGGAACUGAGACACGGUCCAGACUCCUACGGGAGGCAGCAGUGGGGAAUAUUGCACAAUGGGCGCAAGCCUGAUGCAGCCAUGCCGCGUGUGUGAAGAAGGCCUUCGGGUUGUAAAGCACUUUCAGCGGGGAGGAAGGCGGUAAGGUUAAUAACCUCAUCGAUUGACGUUACCCGCAGAAGAAGCACCGGCUAACUCCGUGCCAGCAGCCGCGGUAAUACGGAGGGUGCAAGCGUUAAUCGGAAUUACUGGGCGUAAAGCGCACGCAGGCGGUCUGUCAAGUCGGAUGUGAAAUCCCCGGGCUCAACCUGGGAACUGCAUUCGAAACUGGCAGGCUAGAGUCUUGUAGAGGGGGGUAGAAUUCCAGGUGUAGCGGUGAAAUGCGUAGAGAUCUGGAGGAAUACCGGUGGCGAAGGCGGCCCCCUGGACAAAGACUGACGCUCAGGUGCGAAAGCGUGGGGAGCAAACAGGAUUAGAUACCCUGGUAGUCCACGCCGUAAACGAUGUCGAUUUGGAGGUUGUGCCCUUGAGGCGUGGCUUCCGGAGCUAACGCGUUAAAUCGACCGCCUGGGGAGUACGGCCGCAAGGUUAAAACUCAAAUGAAUUGACGGGGGCCCGCACAAGCGGUGGAGCAUGUGGUUUAAUUCGAUGCAACGCGAAGAACCUUACCUGGUCUUGACAUCCACAGAACUUUCCAGAGAUGGAUUGGUGCCUUCGGGAACUGUGAGACAGGUGCUGCAUGGCUGUCGUCAGCUCGUGUUGUGAAAUGUUGGGUUAAGUCCCGCAACGAGCGCAACCCUUAUCCUUUGUUGCCAGCGGUUAGGCCGGGAACUCAAAGGAGACUGCCAGUGAUAAACUGGAGGAAGGUGGGGAUGACGUCAAGUCAUCAUGGCCCUUACGACCAGGGCUACACACGUGCUACAAUGGCAUAUACAAAGAGAAGCGACCUCGCGAGAGCAAGCGGACCUCAUAAAGUAUGUCGUAGUCCGGAUUGGAGUCUGCAACUCGACUCCAUGAAGUCGGAAUCGCUAGUAAUCGUAGAUCAGAAUGCUACGGUGAAUACGUUCCCGGGCCUUGUACACACCGCCCGUCACACCAUGGGAGUGGGUUGCAAAAGAAGUAGGUAGCUUAACCUUCGGGAGGGCGCUUACCACUUUGUGAUUCAUGACUGGGGUGAAGUCGUAACAAGGUAACCGUAGGGGAACCUGCGGUUGGAUCACCUCCUUA
RNAcentral lists this ribosomal RNA (1540 nucleotides) under Klebsiella pneumoniae. Its description in RNAcentral is "bacterial SSU rRNA". It matches the Rfam family "Bacterial small subunit ribosomal RNA". Lineage: Bacteria; Pseudomonadati; Pseudomonadota; Gammaproteobacteria; Enterobacterales; Enterobacteriaceae. The record is from RNAcentral.